CCUACGGGAGGCUGCAGUGGGGAAUAUUGCACAAUGGGCGCAAGCCUGAUGCAGCCAUGCCGCGUGUGUGAAGAAGGCCUUCGGGUUGUAAAGCACUUUCAGCGGGGAGGAAGGCGGUGAGGUUAAUAACCUCAUCGAUUGACGUUACCCGCAGAAGCAGCACCGGCUAACUCCGUGCCAGCAGCCGCGGUAAUACGGAGGGUGCAAGCGUUAAUCGGAAUUACUGGGCGUAAAGCGCACGCAGGCGGUCUGUCAAGUCGGAUGUGAAAUCCCCGGGCUCAACCUGGGAACUGCAUUCGAAACUGGCAGGCUAGAGUCUUGUAGAGGGGGGUAGAAUUCCAGGUGUAGCGGUGAAAUGCGUAGAGAUCUGGAGGAAUACCGGUGGCGAAGGCGGCCCCCUGGACAAAGACUGACGCUCAGGUGCGAAAGCGUGGGGAGCAAACAGGAUUAGAUACCCGAGUAGUC
Molecule: ribosomal RNA, 465 nt
Filed under: uncultured Klebsiella sp.
Lineage: Bacteria; Pseudomonadati; Pseudomonadota; Gammaproteobacteria; Enterobacterales; Enterobacteriaceae
Description: bacterial SSU rRNA
Rfam family: Bacterial small subunit ribosomal RNA
Source: RNAcentral